GAUGGGUGAGUAACACGUGGGCAACCUGCCCUUUAGCUUGGGAUACCACUUGGAAACAGGUGCUAAUACCAAAUAAGCAGCAAGAGCGCAUGCUCAAGCUGAGAAAGGCGGCUUUCGAGCUGUCACUAAAGGAUGGGCCCGCGGUGCAUUAGCUAGUUGGUAAGGUAACGGCCUACCAAGGCGAUGAUGCAUAGCCGAGUUGAGAGACUGACCGGCCACAUUGGGACUGAGACACGGCCCAA
RNAcentral lists this ribosomal RNA (242 nucleotides) under uncultured bacterium. Its description in RNAcentral is "partial 16S ribosomal RNA". It matches the Rfam family "Bacterial small subunit ribosomal RNA", at positions 102 to 334 of the family's 1533-position model. The record is from RNAcentral.